RNAcentral lists this ribosomal RNA (301 nucleotides) under uncultured bacterium. RNAcentral describes it as "partial 16S ribosomal RNA". It matches the Rfam family "Bacterial small subunit ribosomal RNA", at positions 509 to 807 of the family's 1533-position model. The record is from RNAcentral.
CAGUCGCCGCGGUAAAACGAAGGGGGCUAGCGUUGUUCGGAAUUACUGGGCGUAAAGCGCACGUAGGUGGAUUUUUAAGUCAGGGGUGAAAUCCCGAGGCUCAACCUCGGAACUGCCUUUGAUACUGGAGAUCUUGAGUUCGGAAGAGGUUGGUGGAACGGCUAGUGUAGAGGUGAAAUUCGUAGAUAUUAGCUAGAACACCAGUGGCGAAGGCGGCCAACUGGUCCGAUACUGACGCUGAGGUGCGAAAGCGUGGGGAGCAAACAGGAUUAGAUACCCGAGUAGUCCCUGUCUCUUAUAC